ACACUCCUACGGGAGGCAGCAGUGAGGAAUAUUGGACAAUGGGUGGAAGCCUGAUCCAGCCAUCCCGCGUGCAGGAAGACGGCCCUAUGGGUUGUAAACUGCUUUUAUCUGGGGAUAAACCUACUUACGUGUAAGUAGCUGAAGGUACCAGAAGAAUAAGCACCGGCUAACUCCGUGCCAGCAGCCGCGGUAAUACGGAGGGUGCAAGCGUUAUCCGGAUUUAUUGGGUUUAAAGGGUCCGUAGGCGGACUGAUAAGUCAGUGGUGAAAUCCGACAGCUUAACUGUCGAACUGCCAUUGAUACUGUUAGUCUUGAGUAAGGUUGAAGUGGCUGGAAUAAGUAGUGUAGCGGUGAAAUGCAUAGAUAUUACUUAGAACACCAAUUGCGAAGGCAGGUCACUAAGUCUUAACUGACGCUGAUGGACGAAAGCGUGGGGAGCGAACAGGAUUAGAAACCCUGGUAGUCCCAU
This 469-nucleotide ribosomal RNA is filed under the name uncultured organism. RNAcentral describes it as "partial 16S ribosomal RNA". It matches the Rfam family "Bacterial small subunit ribosomal RNA", at positions 333 to 798 of the family's 1533-position model. The record is from RNAcentral.